AAAAAGACAAAGUCUGGGUUUCCGUGUCCAACUUUAACUGUCCGUCUUAUAUGAAAUUUUUUUAUAAUUCGUAUUUUUAUUGUGGUUAGAUGAUAAAACAUGAUUAAUAUUUUAUGCGUGACUUGUCUUUUUAAUUUUUUAUAAUUUUUUUAAAUAAAAUGGGCGGUCAAACGUUGGAUAUGAAAACUAGGGUUUGUCUUUUU
Oryza sativa Indica Group (long-grained rice) is the source of this 203-nucleotide microRNA precursor. It matches the Rfam family "MIR812 microRNA precursor family". Lineage: Eukaryota; Viridiplantae; Streptophyta; Magnoliopsida; Poales; Poaceae. The record is from Rfam.